Molecule: non-coding RNA, 592 nt
Organism: Drosophila suzukii
Lineage: Eukaryota; Metazoa; Arthropoda; Insecta; Diptera; Drosophilidae
Source: RefSeq, a predicted model, not a curated record
AGCGCGGAGGAGUCCGCAGUUCCCCGAAAGGAGACCGCCGAGAUGGAUGGCGAUAAAGUCAGUGGAGGUCCAGGACUUUCCGGGCAGGCAGGGAGUUGGGCCGGAAAACCCAACAAAAGGAGCAGCCGCCGCAAGCAACCGCAAGGGGGAAAAGCUGGAAAAGCUGGAAAACCCACGGAGCCCAGCAGGACUUGUUUUCUUUUUUGUCAUGUUACAAUUCUGCAGCGACAGCAGUAAAAAAUAAUGCCCUCACCCCCGCCCCCAAGGCAACCACAACUUGUGCAACAUCAUAAACCCAUUUGCGUUUUUAAUUAGUAACAUCGCAACUUGGCGGACUGAGGCGGCCGAGGGCGAAAAGCAAAUGACCAUGCACAAAAUGUUGCACUGAAACAGAUAGCCCAGUCCUGGCUCCAUAAAACCGAAAAAAGAGAUGAAAAACUGGAGCAAAUAAGUGCGAACCCAACUAGCCGGUGGUCAGUUCAUCCCCAUUGCCGUCAUAAAAGAGUCCGCCAACAAAGUUGAAAAAGCGCAGCUCAAGUGGGGCAGCCUCCUCCAGUCGGGAGUUGGGAGUCGGGAAUGGUUUCGGUUUUCG